Molecule: transfer RNA, 182 nt
Filed under: Methanothrix thermoacetophila PT
Lineage: Archaea; Methanobacteriati; Methanobacteriota; Methanomicrobia; Methanotrichales; Methanotrichaceae
Description: Methanosaeta thermophila PT tRNA
Rfam family: Small nucleolar RNA sR3 (bases 47-119)
Source: Rfam by way of RNAcentral
GGGGCUGUGGCCUAGCCAGGUAGGGCGACGGGCUCCAGCGGUAUGACUGGAUGAUGAGCAACGGGUCUGCUGAGCCAUCCCGACGGGGAUGGUGUUGAUGAUCCGUUGGAGCACUGAGAUGAUCAUGUGUUCUCAGAAUCGGAGAGACCCGUCGAUCGUGCGUUCGAAUCGCACCAGCCCCA